UCCCAGAAUUCCUGUGGCCGUGACAAGACUCAGUCCUUCACAGCGCCCUUGAGUUCACUGUCCUAGUUGAAGCGCUUCCCUUUCAGAUGUUUCUUCAGAGUACCAGGCACAUGAAAAUCGCAGGGUGACAUAUUCGGGCUGUAGAGUGGAUGAUCGAGCUGCUCCCACUUGAACUUGGCCAGUUCCGAGUGUGUGAUUCUGGAGACGUGUGGACACGCGUUAUCAGGGAGCAGAACCACACACUCCGGGAGUAGCCCCGGUCUUUAGUUCUUGAUGGACCUGCGUAGUCUUCGGAGUGUCUCACAGUACACAUCGGAGUUAAUGGAUCUCAAAACACAUCUGGAAGGGAAGCGCUUCAACUCGGACGGUGAACUCAAGGACGCUGUGAAGGACUGGGUCUCGUCUCGGCCACAUGAAUUCUGGGAAUAAGGAAUCUUUCGGCUUGUUAAUCAAUGGGAUCGUUGUGUUCAGGCUUAUGGUGUAUACUUUGAAUGAAGUCUUCAUUUAUACCCACAGUAUCGUUUCGUAUCUUUUCGUUUGAACAUCCCUUGUAUAUCAUUCAUUUUUUUUAUUCUACACAUUUAAAAACGCAUUUACAUCAUAGAAUUCGAUGUAAUCAUUUUGUGGAAUGCUUGACCAUUUACCCGGAUUCCUUUUCCUUUUGAGUAUAAUAUUAAAAUCUCUAAGUGUCGACAAUAAACUAAUUUUUAGGCAUACUUAAUAUUUAUUUAUUAUCAAUUAUCAGUAUGAUUAUUUAUUUUAAUUUAAGAGAGAUAAUCAUACAGGUAAAAUAUUUAGUAAUAACAUUACCUCUAUUUUCUUCAGUAAUAUUCGUAUUUUAGAGAAAUAAUUGCAUUUUCAAUAUAAUGUAAAGGAAUAAUGAAUAGGCAUCGAUGUUUGGACUAAAUAUUAUAUUUUAUACCCCUCCUUCAUUAUUACGUACAAACAAGUCACGAAUAUUCGCUUCUAUAAUAUCAAAAAUAGCAAUUUUUUUUAAAAUUCAAAUAACAAUUAAAGCAUGUUUCAUCAUUUGGCAAUGGUAAAAAGACAACUGUUCACUGAGGUAAUUUCCUAUGAGUUCUUUAAAUGCAAUGCUUUUAAUGAAAUUAAAAAUAUUUUUAGUACUUUAAGAUAAUUAUUAUGGAUUAGGAAUGGUUAAAAAAUGAAGAAUAUGCAAUUCAAUGACAUGACCCGGAACCAGAUUAAAUAAAAGUAGAAAAUAUUUAAAAAUACCAUGCGAAUUUUAACAAAUAACUCGUUUGUCUCUAAUUUUCUUCUUCACUCACCUAUAAUCAUUUAUUCGUUUCAUGCCUACAAAUACACAAAACAUUCAGGAAAUAAUGCAUCAUUAUUUAUAAUUCAAGUUAAGGCAUGAUAAGUACCUGAAGAAUCAAUGGUUAUAUCUAUAUGUCUUUUGUAUAAAUAUAAAUAAAACUUUCCGUUCAUUUUAGAGAGAGAUUUUGAUUGAAUUUUCCUUUGAAAAAACAUACAAAUCAAAAGCUGAUUUUUUUAGUCGGAGGGAUUUUCAAACCUCUGAAACCUGAAUUAUUUUCUAUUAUUUAAUAAUUGAACUUUUAUUUAAUUCAAUUAUUUUCUUUAAAAUAAUUGAACUUCUUGCCUGAAAAGCAAUAAGCAGAUUUUAUACUAUUAAAAUCUUCAUUUUGUUUCAGUUGGUGGCCUUCCUGAUCUUGGAGGAGGACUUCUUCCUCUUGCUACAGAUGCAUUAAAUGGAGAUGGAACUGCUGUUGAUCGAAUAGUUCGAGCAUUGUAACAUUUCCAUUUAUCACCACUCUUCAAAACUUUGAAGGAUGGACUGAAAAUUGAGAAAUAAGGCUUCAAGAACUUGGAAAUUUAAUUGAAAAUUGCUCAACUCAUCUAUAUUUAGAUUAUAUGGAUUGUGUGUAUUUUGAAAUUAAAAAAAAGUUACAUUUAAUGAA
Long non-coding RNA from Argiope bruennichi, 1937 nucleotides. RefSeq lists it as uncharacterized. NCBI's taxonomy places the organism in Eukaryota, Metazoa, Arthropoda, Arachnida, Araneae, Araneidae. The record is from RefSeq and is a predicted model, not a curated record. The transcript has 7 exons.